This 351-nucleotide ribosomal RNA is filed under the name Triticum aestivum (bread wheat). RNAcentral describes it as "partial small subunit ribosomal RNA". The record is from RNAcentral. Lineage: Eukaryota; Viridiplantae; Streptophyta; Magnoliopsida; Poales; Poaceae.
AUGGUGGGGCAAAUUUGGGCUCAAAACAAACACAAUCUUGGUACUACAGAAUUGCUCCAAACGGAACAGAGCUUCUUCUGCUACAAUCUAUCCAUUGGUUCUGAGGAAAAGCAUGAUUCAGAACUUAAUGGUGAGCUACUAUUUACUAUAACACCUGCAUCAAACAGACCACAGGUCAACUAUGUGCGUGUAAAAAAAAUUGACAUCUCCACCACAUGUGCCAUAUUCCAUAAUCAAACCAACUUUCCCAUAUUACAGAAAGCAUGCCCCAUAGCUAAUAUUCAAAACUGUUGCAUGUGGUCCAUGUGCAUAUGGCAUACUUAUUAUGUCAUUUGCAAUCAAACACAAUGA